AAUUGAAAAACUCCUCGCUCCAAACACUUUUAGUAACUGGGAGCAGGACAGAACUUCAUAGUCCUCUGAAGAAGCGACUGUGUCACGAAACGUCAGGACAUGGCUUUUAAACUUGUUUGGAUGGCUCUUUUUUGCUACAGUGUGCACACUGAUUCUUUUAAAGGAUUACUUUUUUCAAUAAAGAGGAUUAAUUGAUUUUUUCCUGGACUGAGCCUAUCGUUUGGAGAAGAGUUCUGCUGGAGGCCGUUUGGCUGAAUCCUCUUGGACCAGUCUUCAGUGUUUGGACACCAGGCGGAUCUCUCUAUGGUCCGGUGGGUAUGUUGCAGAUAACACCAACCAAUGGAUGCGACAGAACAUGCGGCUCCUUCUUGACCACUAUACGGUGACCCAAUCUAGUUUGCUGGCUAACAUAAUAGAGUGGCUUGAUUCGGCUUGGGAACAAGCAUUGAUGGCGGUUUCUUCUGGCACCUCUGCUUUGACUUCUGUACAGACCCUUCCCAAUGUAGAUUUGGAUCGAUCAGAACAUGCAGGUUUUUCUUGUGAGCCCUCGUCUCGGAUCUCCACAAACUUGAUCCCACAGGUCCAUUCGACGGUGGUUGUCAGUUUCUGCAAGGCCAAACCGGUCACGGUUGAGGCAGAGAUGCAUCAUUUGCCCACAGAGGAUUUGAUCCAAUUGUGUGAUACUCCAGAUAGAACUCUAGUACUUGGAGAUAAGGUUGUUGAUAUACAGGUUGAUGGUGAGAUACAAUCAUGUGAUAUUGUCUUCAGUAAUGUAGCUGUCCCUAUAUCACAAACUAUUCUGCCUUGUACCCCUAAUUCUGACUCAGUGAAGGAGGCCGAUUCGGGAUCAGGUAAAGAGGCUGUGAUGAAGGACAUAAUAAAGGACUCUUGACCAAGGUCUUAUCUGAAGCCUCCUCAUUUUUAA
Molecule: RNA transcript, 925 nt
Organism: Tachysurus fulvidraco (yellow catfish)
Lineage: Eukaryota; Metazoa; Chordata; Actinopteri; Siluriformes; Bagridae
Exons: 3
Source: RefSeq, a predicted model, not a curated record